AGUGAACGCUGGCGGUAGGCCUAACACAUGCAAGUCGAACGGCAGCACAGUAAGAGCUUGCUCUUACGGGUGGCGAGUGGCGGACGGGUGAGGAAUACAUCGGAAUCUACUUUUUCGUGGGGGAUAACGUAGGGAAACUUACGCUAAUACCGCAUACGACCUACGGGUGAAAGCAGGGGAUCUUCGGACCUUUCGCGAUUGAAUGAGCCGAUGUCGGAUUAGCUAGUUGGCGGGGUAAAGGCCCACCAAGGCGACGAUCCGUAGCUGGUCUGAGAGGAUGAUCAGCCACACUGGAACUGAGACACGGUCCAGACUCCUACGGGAGGCAGCAGUGGGGAAUAUUGGACAAUGGGCGCAAGCCUGAUCCAGCCAUACCGCGUGGGUGAAGAAGGCCUUCGGGUUGUAAAGCCCUUUUGUUGGGAAAGAAAAGCAGCAGGAUAAUACCCCGCUGUUCUGACGGUACCCAAAGAAUAAGCACCGGCUAACUUCGUG
This 492-nucleotide ribosomal RNA is filed under the name uncultured bacterium. Its description in RNAcentral is "partial 16S ribosomal RNA". It matches the Rfam family "Bacterial small subunit ribosomal RNA", at positions 29 to 507 of the family's 1533-position model. The record is from RNAcentral.